Long non-coding RNA from Arvicola amphibius (Eurasian water vole), 241 nucleotides. RefSeq lists it as uncharacterized. The transcript is spliced from 2 exons. The record is from RefSeq and is a predicted model, not a curated record. Lineage: Eukaryota; Metazoa; Chordata; Mammalia; Rodentia; Cricetidae.
UCUGGGACAGACGCCAUGGAACCAGCCACCAGGUCAUACAUGCUGAAUCUUUCCCGACUUGCCUAUAGGCCAAUCUGAUGAAGACGAUUCCUUGAGGUUCCUUCUUCCAAGAUGACUUUACAUGGUGUCAAGUUGACGAGCACACUAUGCAGCGUAGCCAGUGAACACAGAAGCUGGUGAUGAAGGGGUGACACCUUCCUAGGAUGCCACAAUAAACUGAAUAAAUCCACCUGUGAGAGUA